RNAcentral lists this ribosomal RNA (467 nucleotides) under uncultured bacterium. RNAcentral's name for it is "partial 16S ribosomal RNA". It matches the Rfam family "Bacterial small subunit ribosomal RNA", at positions 29 to 507 of the family's 1533-position model. The record is from RNAcentral.
ACGAACGCUGGCGGCGUGCUUAACACAUGCAAGUCGCACGGAAAGGCCCUGCUUUUGUGGGGUGCUCGAGUGGCGAACGGGUGAGUAACACGUGGGUAACCUGCCCUUGACUUUGGGAUAACUUCAGGAAACUGGGGCUAAUACCGGAUAGGAGCUCCUGCUGCAUGGUGGGGGUUGGAAAGUUUCGGCGGUUGGGGAUGGACUCGCGGCUUAUCAGCUUGUUGGUGGGGUAGUGGCUUACCAAGGCUUUGACGGGUAGCCGGCCUGAGAGGGUGACCGGCCACAUUGGGACUGAGAUACGGCCCAGACUCCUACGGGAGGCAGCAGCGGGGAAUAUUGCACAAUGGGCGGAAGCCUGAUGCAGCAACGCCGCGUGCGGGAUGACGGCCUUCGGGUUGUAAACCGCUUUCGCCUGUGACGAAGCGUGAGUGACGGUAAUGGGUAAAGAAGCACCGGCUAACUACGUG